AGAGCGUAAGGGGAAUACCUUGGCUCUCAGAGGCGAUGAAGGACGUGAUAAGCUGCGAUAAGUUGCGAGGAAUGGCACAAACAUUUUGAUCCGCAAAUUUCCGAAUGGGGCAACCCGGCAUAUUGAAGAUAUGUCACACUGUAAAGUGAGCAAACCUGGUGAACUGAAACAUCUAAGUAACCAGAGGAAUAGAAAACAAAAGUGAUUCCGCUAGUAGUGGCGAGCGAACGUGGAAUAGCCCAAACCUAAAUUGUUACGGCAAUUUAGGGGUUGUAGGACCUCAACAUUUAAUGCUAAUAGAACUAGAAUUUACUGGAAAGUAAAACCAAAGAAGGUGAUAGUCCUGUAUAGGUAAUUGAUGUUAUUAAUAGAGGUAUCCUGAGUAGUACGGAGCACGUGAAACUUUGUAUGAAUUUGCCAGGACCAUCUGGUAAGGCUAAAUACUCCUGAGAGACCGAUAGUGAACUAGUACCGUGAGGGAAAGGUUAAAAGUACCCUGAAUAAGGGAGUGAAAUAGAUCUUGAAACCUUACGCUUACAAGCGGUCGGAGCCCAUUUAUGGGUGACGGCGUGCCUUUUGCAUAAUGAGCCUACGAGUUACCUUUGCUAGCAUGGCUAAUCCGUUAAGCGGAGCAACCGAAGCGAAAGCGAGUCUGAAUAGGGCGUUUAGUUAGCAGUGGUAGACGCGAAACCUAGUGAUCUAUCCAUGGGCAGGUUGAAGCUGUAGUAACAUACAGUGGAGGACCGAACCCGUAGACGUUGAAAAGUCUUGGGAUGACCUGUGGAUAGGGGUGAAAGGCCAAUCAAACUAGGAAAUAGCUCGUACUCCCCGAAAUGCAUUUAGGUGCAGCGUUACAUUAAGUUACAUAGAGGUAGAGCUACUGAUUGGAUGCGGGGGUGUCACAACCUACCAAUUCCUGACAAACUCCGAAUGCUAUGUAAUGUUUUGUGGCAGUGAGGGCAUGGGUGCUAAGGUCCAUGUCCGAGAGGGAAACAACCCAGACCAUCAGCUAAGGUCCCAAAAUAUAUACUAAGUUGAAUUAAACGAAGUUUGACUACCUAGACAGCUAGGAUGUUGGCUUGGAAGCAGCCAUUCAUUUAAAGAGUGCGUAACAGCUCACUAGUCGAGUGGUCGAGCAUGGAUAAUAAUCGGGCAUAAGUAUAUUACCGAAGCUAUGGCAUUAUUUAUAAUGGGUAGGGGAGCAUUCUAUUGACGUUGAAGGUGAACUGUGAGGUUUGCUGGAGUUUAUAGAAACGAAAAUGUAGGCAUAAGUAACGAUUAGGGGUGCGAGAAACACCCCCUCCGAAAAACUCAGGUUUCCUCAGCUAUGCUAAUCAGCUGAGGGUUAGUCAGGACCUAACACGAACCCAAAUGGGGUAGUGGAUGGACAACCAGUUAAUAUUCUGGUACCUGCUUAACAAUAAAAGCGACGGAAAAGAAAUGUUAUUGCGUACUGACGGAAUAGUACGUUGAAAUUACUUUUAAGGUAAUGAUAGUACAUCAAAUCUACGGAUGAGGUGAUAAUAUAGCGGAUCUUUUUCCAAGAAAAACAAGUUAAGCAGCCUGUACCUUAAACCGACACAGGUAGUUGGGAUGAGGAUUCUAAGGAGCUCGAGAGAUUCAUGGCUAAGGAACUAGGCAAAUUUGACCCGUAACUUCGGGAUAAGGGUCGCCUACUUUUAGUAGGCCGCAGUGAAAAGGUCCAAGCGACUGUUUAUCAAAAACACAGGACUCUGCUAAGUCGAAAGACGAUGUAUAGGGUCUGACACCUGCCCGGUGCCGGAAGGUUAAGUGGAAAUGUUAGCCCCGGUAAACGGCGGCCGUAACUAUAACGGUCCUAAGGUAGCGAAAUUCCUUGUCGGGUAAGUUCCGACCUGCACGAAUGGUGUAACGAUUUGGACACUGUCUCAGCCAUGAGCUCGGUGAAAUUGUAGUAGCGGUGAAGAUGCCGCUUACCCGCCACGGGACGAAAAGACCCCGUGCACCUUUACUAUAGCUUCGUAUUGAUAUUGGAUAAGUAAUGUGUAGGAUAGGUGGGAGACUUUGAUUAGGCGUCGCCAGGCGUUUAUGAGUCGUUGUUGAAAUACCACCCUUUACUUCUCUGAUAUCUAAUCCCUUUGGGGAGACAGUGCGUGGUGGGUAGUUUGACUGGGGUGGUCGCCUCCAAAAGAGUAACGGAGGCUUCUAAAGGUACCCUCAACACGGUUGGUAAUCGUGUGUAGAGUGCAAUGGCAUAAGGGUGCUUGACUGAGAGACUGACAAGUCGAUCAGGUUGGAAACAAGAGCAUAGUGAUCCGGUGGUUCCGCAUGGAAGGGCCAUCGCUCAAAGGAUAAAAGGUACGCCGGGGAUAACAGGCUGAUCUCCCCCAAGA
Molecule: ribosomal RNA, 2372 nt
Filed under: hydrothermal vent metagenome
Description: bacterial LSU rRNA
Rfam family: Bacterial large subunit ribosomal RNA
Source: RNAcentral